AUGAUCAUGAUUAGUGCCAUUGUCAUAUUUUGCUUCUUGCAUCAUGUUCAUCUUUUAUUAUAUUCCAUUAUGCCAUCCUUGUUUGUUUUGCCAUGCCUAUCUCUUGUCAUAUUGCUUUUGGUCAUUCAUGUUGUUGCCAUGAGCAUCAUGUGCAUUGCACUCAGCCUUACGUUACAUGUUACUUUCUUCUUGUGUGUGCAUCAGCCCUUGCUCUCUCUCUCAAGCAAUGCCCAUGUAUCAUCACCUCUCCCUUCCUCCUUCCUUCAUGUUUUUGCAAGUGACAUUAUUCCCUCCUCCAUUAAUGUUUAUUUAUUUCCUGAUGAUCUUACUCCAUGCCUUAUACCUUUCUGUCAAGUAUCAUCCAUUUUGGAGUUGUUUUGGUUGGGUUCAAAAAUGGCUCAAGUUUGA
RNAcentral lists this ribosomal RNA (408 nucleotides) under Triticum aestivum (bread wheat). RNAcentral describes it as "partial small subunit ribosomal RNA". The record is from RNAcentral. Lineage: Eukaryota; Viridiplantae; Streptophyta; Magnoliopsida; Poales; Poaceae.